CUACGGAGGGUGCAAGCGUUACUCGGAAUCACUGGGCGUAAAGCGCGCGCAGGCGGGCUGAUAAGUUGGAUGUGACAGCCUACGGCUCAACCGUAGAACUGCAUCCAAAACUGUCAGUCUAGAGUCUGGGAGGGGAAGAUGGAAUUAGUUGUGUAGGGGUAAAAUCCGUAGAGAUAACUAGGAAUACCAAAAGCGAAGGCGAUCUUCUGGAACAGUACUGACGCUGAGGCGCGAAAGCGUGGGGAGCAAACAGGAUUAGAAACCCUAGUAGUCC
RNAcentral lists this ribosomal RNA (274 nucleotides) under uncultured bacterium. Its description in RNAcentral is "partial 16S ribosomal RNA". It matches the Rfam family "Bacterial small subunit ribosomal RNA", at positions 523 to 796 of the family's 1533-position model. The record is from RNAcentral.